AUGCUUUAAGGGGUGUCAAACUGUCCAUCAAGCUGUCACCUGACCAGUCGUUCCCAUGGUUCUUUUAGACUUCCAGUAUGAUAAAUUGAAAGGGACUAUUAUCUGUCUGUUGUGAAGAGGAACUGUUUGGGCUUUGAUAAGAUAUCACUACUCCCAGCGGCUUCUGGCAUGUCAGAGCUCCACAGCAAGUUUUAUAAUUUUGACAGUCCUUGGCGAUCAAUGAAGUUGACUGGACUCCAUUACUUUUCCAAACAGAAAUACCUUGCAGUCCAAUGAAGGAAGUAGUGGCUAGAGGGGAAAGUACCAGAAUAUUCAAUACGUUUGUCUUAGGUCCCAAAGGAAACAAACAAAUGUGUUCCCUGUUAUUCUUUCUCUCACAAUAAAAAUUUUAGACCAUUUCUAGAAAAAAGCAAUUUUGCAUUUGUAUUUUUGUGUUACUUCUUUCAGUUUGUCUCCCUUUUGGUAAGUG
RNAcentral lists this long non-coding RNA (469 nucleotides) under Homo sapiens (human). RNAcentral describes it as "non-protein coding lnc-DNAJC19-4:1". Lineage: Eukaryota; Metazoa; Chordata; Mammalia; Primates; Hominidae. The record is from RNAcentral.